AGAGUUUGAUCAUGGCUCAGAUUGAACGCUGGCGGCAUGCUUUACACAUGCAAGUCGAACGGCAGCACGAGUGCUUGCACUUGGUGGCGAGUGGCGAACGGGUGAGUAAUACAUCGGAACGUGUCCUAAAGUGGGGGAUAACGCAUCGAAAGAUGUGCUAAUACCGCAUAAACUCUACGGAGCAAAGUAGGGGAUCGAAAGACCUUGCGCUUUUGGAGCGGCCGAUAUCUGAUUAGCUAGUUGGUAAGGUAAAAGCUUACCAAGGCGACGAUCAGUAGUUGGUCUGAGAGGACGACCAGCCACACUGGGACUGAGACACGGCCCAGACUCCUACGGGAGGCAGCAGUGGGGAAUUUUGGACAAUGGGCGAAAGCCUGAUCCAGCAAUGCCGCGUGAGUGAAGAAGGCCUUCGGGUUGUAAAGCUCUUUCAAUCGAGAAGAAAAAAUCAUGACUAAUAAUCAUGAUUAAUGACGGUAUCGAUAGAAGAAGCACCGGCUAACUACGUGCCAGCAGCCGCGGUAAUACGUAGGGUGCUAGCGUUAAUCGGAAUUACUGGGCGUAAAGGGUGCGCAGGCGGUUUUGUAAGUCAGAUGUGAAAUCCCCGGGCUUAACCUGGGAAUUGCGUUUGAACUACAAAACUAGAGUGUAGCAGAGGGAGGUGGAAUUUCAUGUGUAGCAGU
RNAcentral lists this ribosomal RNA (680 nucleotides) under uncultured bacterium. Its description in RNAcentral is "bacterial SSU rRNA". It matches the Rfam family "Bacterial small subunit ribosomal RNA", at positions 8 to 682 of the family's 1533-position model. The record is from RNAcentral.